UAAUGAACAUAAAUUGUAGAUAAUAAUAUUACAUUGUGUUGUAUUGAACCCUCUAAACUUAUUCCACAGAUCCCUUGGCCAAAAUGGGUUUAAUAUGUUGUUGUUAGUAAUAUUCAUGAAAACAAAUGAAAUGUAAAGAAAGAAAGAAAAACAACUUUGAGAAUCCCUGACCGAGAGUACUGGAGGUGACAUUGGAAAGGGAAUUCCUGACCGAGAGUACUGGAGGUGACAUUGGAAAGGGAAUCCCUGACCGAGAGUACUGGAGGUGACAUUGGAAAGGGAAUCCCUGACCGAGAGUACUGGAGGUGACAUUGGAAAGGGAAUCCCUGACCGAGAGUACUGGAGGUGACAUUGGAAAGGGAAUCCCUGACCGAGAGUACUGGAGGUGACAUUGGAAAGGGAAUCCCUGACCGAGAGUACUGGAGGUGACAUUGGAAAGGGAAUCCCUGACCGAGAGUACUGGAGGUGACAUUGGAAAGGGAAUCCCUGACCGAGAGUACUGGAGGUGACAUUGGAAAGGGAAUCCCUGACCGAGAGUACUGGAGGUGACAUUGGAAAGGGAAUCCCUGACCGAGAGUACUGGAGGUGACAUUGGAAAGGGAAUCCCUGACCGAGAGUACUGGAGGUGACAUUGGAAAGGGAAUCCCUGACCGAGAGUACUGGAGGUGACAUUGGAAAGGGAAUCCCUGACCGAGAGUACUGGAGGUGACAUUGGAAAGGGAAUCCCUGACCGAGAGUACUGGAGGUGACAUUGGAAAGGGAAUCCCUGACCGAGAGUACUGGAGGUGACAUUGGAAAGGGAAUCCCUGACCGAGAGUACUGGAGGUGACAUUGGAAAGGGAAUCCCUGACCGAGAGUACUGGAGGUGACAUUGGAAAGGGAAUUCCUGACCGAGAGUACUGGAGGUGACAAUGGAAAGGGAAUCCCUGACCGAGAGUACUGGAGGUGACAUUGGAAAGGGAAUCCCUGACCGAGAGUACUGGAGGUGACAUUGGAAAGGGAAUUCCUGACCGAGAGUACUGGAGGUGACAUUGGAAAGGGAAUCCCUGACCGAGAGUACUGGAGGUGACAUUGGAAAGGGAAUUCCUGACCGAGAGUACUGGAGGUGACAUUGGAAAGGGAAUCCCUGACCGAGAGUACUGGAGGUGACAUUGGAAAGGGAAUCCCUG
Molecule: long non-coding RNA, 1169 nt
Organism: Oncorhynchus keta (chum salmon)
Lineage: Eukaryota; Metazoa; Chordata; Actinopteri; Salmoniformes; Salmonidae
Exons: 3
Source: RefSeq, a predicted model, not a curated record